UAAGGAAUAUUGGUCAAUGGACGCAAGUCUGAACCAGCCAUGCCGCGUGAAGGAUGAAGGUCCUCUGGAUUGUAAACUUCUUUUAUCUGGGACGAAAACGGGAUUUUUAUCUCAAUUGACGGUACCAGAGGAAUAAGCACCGGCUAACUCCGUGCCAGCAGCCGCGGUAAUACGGAGGGUGCAAGCGUUAUCCGGAUUCACUGGGUUUAAAGGGUGUGUAGGCGGAUUGUUAAGUCAGUGGUGAAAUCUCUGGGCUCAACCCGGAAACUGCCGUUGAUACUAUCAGUCUUGAAUUCUGUUGAGGUGGGCGGAAUACAUCAUGUAGCGGUGAAAUGCUUAGAUAUGAUGUAGAACACCGAUUGCGAAGGCAGCUCACUAAGCAGCGAUUGACGCUGAGGCACGAAAGCGUGGGGAUCAAACA
Molecule: ribosomal RNA, 421 nt
Filed under: uncultured bacterium
Lineage: Bacteria
Description: bacterial SSU rRNA
Rfam family: Bacterial small subunit ribosomal RNA
Source: RNAcentral